AAAUAGUGUGGACCUGAAGUCUACUAUGGUUAGUCUAUUACGUACGCUUUACAGACUAGGUUUACUGUAAGGAAAAUUACUGAGGAUGGACCUGCGUUUUCAGUCAUAUGCUUGUUGGUUGCUCCCCCUGCUCGGCCUAGUCCUCUCCCCGUUUCCAUCGGUCCACUCGGCUGACCUCACCAUGGCCGACGCCGCCCACCAGGAGUUCGCCCGCCGGCUGGCCCUCUUCUCCAUCAACGUGUACGGCAAGCUGGCGGCGCAUAAGGCCGGCGAGAACAUCGUCUUCUCGCCCUUUUCCAUCCAGACCUGUGCGGCGAUGGCCAGGCUGGGCGCAGAGAAGGAGACGGCCACACAGCUGGACCAGGGACUGGGUCUGGUCUCCAGUGAACCGGAGCAAAUUGCACAGAGUUUCCACCAGGUGCUGGCCGCCUACCAGGACAGCCAGAUCCUGCGCAUCGCCAACAAGAUUUUCGUGAUGGAGGGCUACCAGCUGCGCCAGGAGUUCGACCAGUUAUUAUCCAAGCAGUUUCUCUCGGCAGCUCAGAACGUGGACUUUGCCAAAAAUGUCCAAGCUGCGGCCACCAUCAACAAUUGGGUGGAGCAGCGCACGAACCACCUGAUCAAGGACCUUGUGUCGGCUGAUGUACUGGACUCCAAUUCGCGACUGGUCCUUGUGAACGCCAUUCACUUCAAGGGCACCUGGCGGCACCAGUUCUCCAAGCACUUAACCCGCCCCGAAACCUUUCACCUGGAUGGCGAGCGAACCGUCCAGGUUCCGAUGAUGAGUUUAAAGGAGCGGUUACGCUUUGCCGAUCUGCCGGCGCUGGAUGCCAAAGCCCUGGAACUGCCCUACAAGGACUCAGACCUCUCUAUGCUGAUCGUUCUGCCCAACACCAAGACGGGUCUGCCCGCACUGGAGGAGAAGCUGCGCCUCACGACCCUCUCGCAGAUCACGCAGGCGUUGCACGAAACGAAGGUGGUGCUCAAAUUGCCCAGGUUCAAGGCAGAGUUCCAAGUGGAGUUGUCUGAGGUUUUCCAGCAGCUUGGCAUGUCAAGGAUGUUCAGCGACCAGGCUGAAUUUGGAAAAAUGCUACAAAGUCCGGAGCCAUUGAAAGUGUCAGCCAUCAUACACAAGGCCUUCAUAGAAGUAAACGAGGAGGGAACGGAGGCUGCGGCCGCCACGGGCAUGGUGGUGCGUAGGAAGCGCGCCAUUGUCUCACUUGAGGAACCAAUUGAGUUCUUAGCCGACCAUCCUUUCACCUAUGCCGUUGUGCAUCAGGAGGAACUGCCAUUGUUUUGGGGCUCAGUUGUGCGGCUAGAGGAAAAUAUCUCCGCCUCCAGCGAGCAUGAUGAGCUGUGAUGGUACCUGAUUCUUUGGCAAAACAAUAAACGCAGCUAUUUAUUUACAAUGUCCUAAGUUUUGUCACGCAUUUACCUGAAGAUUUAGGAUAAUCCGUAAUCAAUCAAAACAAAAAAAUCCAUUGACCGGAUUCCGGGUGAUGCCCGUGGCUGGCUUCAGUCGCAAGCACUUCAUUGCCAACCAUCCUUUUGCAUUCUACGUGAAGUCCCAUUUGGAUCUGCCGAUAUUCACUGGGCGUCACUUGGGUUAAGCAAUAUGAAGUUUUCUAUGAAAAAAAUUAAAGUUCAAUAAAUUAAAAUAAACGACA
This is an RNA transcript of Drosophila santomea, 1667 nucleotides long. It is a transcript of the gene named alaserpin, with no coding region annotated. The record is from RefSeq and is a predicted model, not a curated record. The transcript is spliced from 5 exons. Lineage: Eukaryota; Metazoa; Arthropoda; Insecta; Diptera; Drosophilidae.